AAUGUGUCUCGGCUUUUUGACUAAGAUAAAGUGUAGUAUCUGUUCUUAUCAACUUAAUAAAUACAACCUCCUUAGUCUGGAUAAUGUUACUUGUAUAUAUGUUUUCAGGGUUAAUCUUUGGUAUUGGAUGACCAAUAGGUAUGCUCAUUCCUGGGAAAGACAAUUUCUCCCACUGUCAACAUUCC
Mesocricetus auratus (golden hamster) is the source of this 185-nucleotide non-coding RNA. Lineage: Eukaryota; Metazoa; Chordata; Mammalia; Rodentia; Cricetidae. The record is from Rfam.